UUAUUUCGUCUCUACGAUCCUCCUUGAUCGUGACAUUCUGACGUCAUAUAUAACCUUACAACAAUAUUGCUUCAGAUGAUGAUGGUGAUAGAUGAUAUUUUUUAUUGGGAAGAUGUUUUGAUCGCAAUUAAGUGCUAACCUACACAUAUUAUAAUUGCGUUUUGAUUUAUCAGUGAAUUUAUUCACAAAGGUAGGAUGUCAUCCAUUUCAAAGCCUUACCACGGAUACCAGCAGCAUUCAGCUUUUCAAGAAGAAUUGAAUGGUCAACUGUGUCGAACGCCUUUUUUAUAUCGAGAAACAGUCCAGUAACCUUGGAAUUCCUAACAUUUAAUCCUGAAUAUAUUUGAAGUUAUAUACAUAAAGUUAUAUAAAGCCAUCUCAGUACUUAAACCCUCUUGGAAUCCAAAUUGACCCUUGUAGAAAAAGUUAUUGCUCUUCACAAAAUGGAAAAUUCUCCUUCUAACAAUCUUCUCAAAUAUUUUAGAGAAGACAGACAGGAGAGAUAUAGGUCUGUAAUUGGAAGGAUCUAAAUGAUUUCCACUUUUGAAAAUGGGAAUGACCUUAGCUGUCUUCAAGACAUCCGGAAAGAUACCCGCAAUUAUACUUGCAUUGAAUAUAUCAUACAAUACUGGAACCAAUGGUAUAGCAAUUCUUUUUAAAAGAUAGGAAGAUAUACAUUCGUGACCAGGAGACUUACCAUUCCUCAAAGACUGUAUCUCAGUGAGAAUCUCAUGAUAAUCUAUUGGUCUUAAAAAAAUAGAAUUACAAACAUUGUCUGAUAUGAAGCAAUCUUUAUAAUUAUUAAUAGUAUUUUGAUCUAUUACUCUCAUAGAAGAAAUAAGUCUAGUAGGUACUUCAAUAAAAUAUGUAUUAAAAGUG
This 879-nucleotide unclassified non-coding RNA is filed under the name Nilaparvata lugens (brown planthopper). Its description in RNAcentral is "5'-AMP-activated protein kinase catalytic subunit alpha-2, transcript variant X2". The record is from RNAcentral. Lineage: Eukaryota; Metazoa; Arthropoda; Insecta; Hemiptera; Delphacidae.